This 405-nucleotide long non-coding RNA is filed under the name Gossypium raimondii (Peruvian cotton). RNAcentral's name for it is "long non-coding RNA (GRAI_LNC000647)". The record is from RNAcentral. Lineage: Eukaryota; Viridiplantae; Streptophyta; Magnoliopsida; Malvales; Malvaceae.
AAGCUUUGAAUGACUAUUCCGACCUUCGCCGAAUAGAAAUGAAGAAAAUUCUUCCCAAAAUCUCCUUCACACUUUCUCUGCAAAUGCAUUCAAAGUUGUUUCUUUUAUCACAACAAUACACUUUCAGGUUAAACAGAUUUUUCUUUUCAAGUUUAAUUUCAUUUGGUUUCUGUUCUUGUAAUAAUCAAAUUUUGUUUUAGAAGGGUUUUUGGUGAUGGGUUUUCUUUAAAUUUUCUAAAAAAUAAGCUACAACUCAACUCCCAAAUCUUUGUCUUUUGGGGGAGAUGAUGUUUAGUUUUCUCUUAUGGGAAACCUACGGACUAGAAUUGAAUUAUAGGGAGUCAAUCGUAAUCACCAUAUGGAUCUCUCUCUUAAUCCUUGUUUUAUUAUUUCGAUUUUGCUGCU